RNAcentral lists this ribosomal RNA (372 nucleotides) under uncultured organism. RNAcentral's name for it is "bacterial SSU rRNA". It matches the Rfam family "Bacterial small subunit ribosomal RNA", at positions 526 to 896 of the family's 1533-position model. The record is from RNAcentral.
CGGGGGGGGCAAGCGUUGUUCGGAAUUACUGGGCGUAAAGGGCUCGUAGGCGGCCAACUAAGUCGGACGUGAAAUCCCCAGGCUCAACUUGGGAACUGCGUCCGAUACUGAUUGGCUUGAAUCCGGGAGAGGGAUGCAGAAUUCCAGGUGUAGCGGUGAAAUGCGUAGAUAUCUGGAGGAAUACCGGUGGCGAAGGCGGCAUCCUGGACCGGCAUUGACGCUGAUGAGCGAAAGCUAGGGGAGCAAACGGGAUUAGAUACCCCGGUAGUCCUAGCCCUAAACGAUGAAUGCUUGGUGUGACGGGUAUCGAUCCCUGUCGUGCCGAAGCUAACGCAUUAAGCAUUCCGCCUGGGGAGUACGGUCGCAAGGCUG